CACGCAGCUGCAGAGCGAUGGGGAGGACGUGAGUGAGCCAGGGUUGCUGUGUUCCCCUGGGACAAGGAGAUAACGUAUUUUCUCCUCCCCUGCCGCUGCACCAUGGGCACAGCUCUUCCAAGUCUCUGGGUCUCCCAGUACUGCCUCUUGCUGUCACUGGACAGAAGAGCUCCUGCCAGACAAAAGUCACACAAGGAGUUGGCAGCCGAGGUGACAGUUCUGCUUCACCUAUUAUUUUCCUAGACUGAGCACCGAGCCCUUAGUUGGGGACAGUUGGGGACUCCACCAUCUAAGCCCAGACAGGCCUGAAUCGUUAAGGGAAAGUCUCCAGAGGAAAGCAUGGAGCUUUUGUUUGGCGCUUUUCCAAACCUAUAUUGGAGGACCAACUGAUGUCUCUCAGAGGACACAAACACUUGGAGAUGGAUGGCUUACCUUCUGACCUCAUAGUGCACUUCGAUACAUUUUAUAUCUUGGAAUAAAAAAAAAACAAAUAAAAAAAGGACAAAAAACCAAAACCCAC
This is a non-coding RNA of Myodes glareolus (Bank vole), 520 nucleotides long. Lineage: Eukaryota; Metazoa; Chordata; Mammalia; Rodentia; Cricetidae. The record is from RefSeq and is a predicted model, not a curated record.